This is a non-coding RNA of Camellia sinensis, 2563 nucleotides long. The record is from RefSeq and is a predicted model, not a curated record. Lineage: Eukaryota; Viridiplantae; Streptophyta; Magnoliopsida; Ericales; Theaceae.
UCUAUUCUCUCUCUCUCUACAAGUUUGAUCUCCUAUGGUGCCAACACAUCACAUACCCAUACCCAACAACACCACAACUCACCACUCUCUCUCUCUCUCUCUCUCUCUCUCUCUUCACAAAACCCAUUUUCUGGGUCUUUUUCAAUUCUAUUUAAAUUCUUUCAUUUCUUGAUUCUUUUUAUUUUUUGGGGAGUUUUGCCAUCUCUGUUUUUGAAGUUUAUUGUGAAGUUUGUGAAGCGGUGGAGGAUCUUCCCAUUUUUUUUUUUUUUUUUUGCAAUGGAUUUCUGGUUCCAGAACUUUCGGUGAUUUCAGGCUUGAUCUGGGUUUUCAACGGCUUUGAUCGCUGUUUUUGUGUGAUUGUAGUGAGAGAGAAAGAAAUAUGUUGGGUUUAUCGAGGUUUAUCGAGAUAUGUUGGGUUUAUCGAUGGCUGAAGGGGGAUCUCAUUACUGCUCUAAAAAGAAGGACGAUAUUUGCGGUGAUGGUUGCGAUAAGGUGUGGUUUAUGGCGGGGUUUUCACACAUUUUUUUGUUGAUUUUUAUGAGGUUAUUGGAAUUGAUCUUUUGUCACAAUCUCUAUUGCUAGCUAUAGUUGAACUUGCUGAGGAUAGGCAUUGGAGGGUUCGACUUGCAAUAAUAGAGUACAUACCUUUAUUGGCAAGUCAGUUGGGUGUGGGAUUUUUUGAUGAUAAGCUUGGUGCUCUCUGUAUGCAGUGGUUGCAGGAUAAGUUCAUGAAUUUUUGACGCAGUUUAUCAGUUUCUAUAAUGAAAGGUUCUCAAUAUAAUCAAAGGUACAACUCUCUCACACAAUUUUUCUUUAUUACAUCUCUUUCAUUACUUAUAUAAUUUUGAUAAAAGUUAAAUUGUUUGGUUUGUUACUUUUUUAGUUAUGUUUUAAACAAAGCUCCCUUUCCAUUUGCAUAAAAGAUAGGCAAAAUGGGACUAAUGAGCAGUAAACCACGAUUAAAAAAAAAAAUAGUAUUACUCAAACUUUUUGCUUUUAUUUGCUUUUUUCACUAGAUUAUUUUUCUUAAUCUUUCUUUUUUCUUAUGGAGCUUAGUAAAGGGUGUUGUAGUAGUCUUUGUAGCUUUUUUGUUAGUGGUUUUGGUGAAUGUUAAAGUAGUGGAAUGAAAUUGAAUGGAUUAGUAUGACCUAUGCACUGUACACUAGAUUUCUUUUCCCCCUAUAAGAAAGUGUUGGCUUGGCCAUUACAUAUUUUGGGGAUUGUUGAGAGUGUGUGUUGAAAAUUUAAACCAAAAAGAAAAUGUGCAUAAUGAGGAUUGAAAAAUUGAAAAAAGAAAAGAAAAUGGAAGAUAAACAUAGAUAAAUCUCUUUUCUUUUUUUUUGGUGAACACACAGACUAAUCUUAGGUAACAAAAUGCCUUUCUUAAGACAAUAUACAUUGGUAAAUUUUGAGUUACUUUGGAAAUAACUUUGUGCUUAGUUUUGGAAUCCCCCAUUGUCAAAAUAAAAAUUGAUGUCUAAUUGUCUUUUAAAUUGGUUUUUCAGGAUUUACAAAUUUACAUUUUAUUUAAGAGAAAAAUAAAGUUAUAGGUUCUUUUUUCCUCUCUAUUUCUGUCUUCUCUUUUUUAACCUCUUGGAAUAUGAGGACAACAAAAUCGUGGUGUAGAGUUUUUGUUGUCCCAUUGUUCUUCUUGCCUGGUUUAGUUAGUAAAGGAAAACAAGUGUUUUCAUUUUUUGUCAAGUACAUAAUAAAUGUAGUAAAACUAGAUAAGGAAAUAUGUGAAGAAAGUGAGUUGGACUGUGUGUGAUGACAAGUGGGGUUUGAUAAAUGAUAGAUGCUUUUGAGUAGUUAAAAAGUUUAUUACAUAUUAUGUGAUGUUGAUUUGAAAAUACUGAACAUUAGACAUUUUUACUUUAAUCCAUCUAAUCUAACUUUAUUAUUAUUUUUCAAAUUUAAUUUUUAUUUUUUUUUUUAAUUUCAGGUAUCGAUAUUAGAAUGGCUAUUGAACGACUUUCAAAUCCUUUUAACUUUGGCCAAUUUUUAGGGUAACAAUUUCAUUUUUAAAAUUGUCUUAGUUAAUGUAUUUGAUGGCUUCUUACGAAAAGUACAAAAUAAAGGAGAAAUAAUCUUGGGAUUAAUCUUCUCCUGUCCAAUUUUAUUACUGGUAUACACUGUCAGCCCAACUUUAAUCUUGGGAUUAAUCUUGGGACAAAAUGUUUGGAGAUAUUGGGAUUAAUCUUGGGAUUAAUCCCAACAUCAAUUUUAUAGCAAUUGUCAUCCCAACAUUAAUCUCAAAAUGUUGUCGUAGGGGUUUACCAUCCCAAUAUAGAUGGACAUGAGAGAUGACCCAUCACUACUGAUUGUCCUAUAUAUAAUGCAAAGGACUCCCAGAUUGGGGACACACUAAUAGACCUUUUUGAGACUCCUUUAGCUUUGCCAUUCUAUGUCAAUAACUCAAUUUUUUUUAAUGUUUUUUAAUUUCCCAACAGUGGCUUCAAGACCCAUUGUUCAACACCAAAAUAGAGAUAUUUUACAUUGUCUAUUGAAUUUCCCUUUUUCUGCUCUUGAUCGUUGUUGUUGGUUAAUUAUGUUGUUUGGAUUU